Long non-coding RNA from Alligator sinensis (Chinese alligator), 240 nucleotides. RefSeq lists it as uncharacterized. NCBI's taxonomy places the organism in Eukaryota, Metazoa, Chordata, Crocodylia, Alligatoridae. The transcript is spliced from 4 exons. The record is from RefSeq and is a predicted model, not a curated record.
GGAGGUUUGCUUCCAUGGCAGGCUCUGAAGCAGAGACAGGCCUGUGAUUGAAUACGAAUUGACUGCAGUGCUGAAGAGUGAAUAGGAACACAUACUGAGCAAGACAGACAAGAUCCCUGGAUAUUGGGAACAGAACAUGCUACUGGCUUUGCAGGACAAAAUCCUAGUAAAUAUCCAGAGUUAGAUGGACUGGACUGUAGGGAACCAUACUUUUUAGGAGGCAUUAGCAAGAGUCACUCG